GUGCUAGCCGCCGCGGUAAUACAUAGGGGUCAAGCGUUGUCCGGAUUUAUUGGGCGUAAAGAGCUCGUAGGCGGUUCAACAAGUCGGUCGUAAAAGUUUAGGGCUCAACCCUAAAAUGUCGAUCGAUACUGUUGUGACUAGGAUACGGUAGAGGUGAAUGGAAUUCCGAGUGUAGCGGUGAAAUGCGUAGAUAUUCGGAGGAACACCGGUGGCGAAAGCGCUCUACUGGACCAUUACUGACACUCAGAGGCGAAAGCUAGGGUAGCAAAAGGGAUUAGAUA
Molecule: ribosomal RNA, 281 nt
Filed under: uncultured bacterium
Lineage: Bacteria
Description: partial 16S ribosomal RNA
Rfam family: Bacterial small subunit ribosomal RNA
Source: RNAcentral